UGAGGAAUAGCUGGGUCAAAUGGUGGUUCCAGUCCCAGGUUUCCAAGGAAUCUCCAUACUGCUCUCCAAAUUGGCUGCACCAAUUUGCAGUCCCACCAGCAAU
This 103-nucleotide microRNA precursor is filed under the name Marmota monax (woodchuck). The record is from RNAcentral. Lineage: Eukaryota; Metazoa; Chordata; Mammalia; Rodentia; Sciuridae.